CCAAACUGUUGCCUCGGCGGGAUCUCUGCCCCGGGUGCGUCGCAGCCCCGGACCAAGGCGCCCGCCGGAGGACCAACCUAAAACUCUUAUUGUAUACCCCCUCGCGGGUUUUUUUAUAAUCUGAGCCUUCUCGGCGCCUCUCGUAGGCGUUUCGAAAAUGAAUCAAAACUUUCAACAACGGAUCUCUUGGUUCUGGCAUCGAUGAAGAACGCAGCGAAAUGCGAUAAGUAAUGUGAAUUGCAGAAUUCAGUGAAUCAUCGAAUCUUUGAACGCACAUUGCGCCCGCCAGUAUUCUGGCGGGCAUGCCUGUCCGAGCGUCAUUUCAACCCUCGAACCCCUCCGGGGGGUCGGCGUUGGGGAUCGGCCCUCCCUUAGCGGGUGGCCGUCUCCGAAAUACAGUGGCGGUCUCGCCGCAGCCUCUCCUGCGCAGUAGUUUGCACACUCGCAUCGGGAGCGCGGCGCGUCCACAGCCGUUAAACACCCAACUUCUGAAAUGUUGACCUCGGAUCAGGUAGGAAUACCCGCUGAACUUAAGCAUAUCAAUAAGCGGAGGAA
This 555-nucleotide ribosomal RNA is filed under the name Trichoderma harzianum. RNAcentral's name for it is "eukaryotic LSU rRNA". The stretch from base 167 to 320 matches the Rfam family "5.8S ribosomal RNA". Lineage: Eukaryota; Fungi; Ascomycota; Sordariomycetes; Hypocreales; Hypocreaceae. The record is from RNAcentral.